AGAGUUUGAUCCUGGCUCAGGAUAAACGCUGGCGGCGUGCCUUACCAAUGCGAGUCGUACGGGCGAUCUUCGGAUCGUCAGUGGCGGCCGGGUGCGUAACACGUGGGUGACCUACCCAGAUCUGGGGGAUACCCGCCCGAAAGGGUGGCUAAUACCGCAUGCCUUUACGGCUCUUGUGCCGUAAGGAAAGUUCUCCCGCAAGGGAGGGCGGAUGUGGAGGGGCCCGCGGCCUAUCAGCUUGUCGGUGGGGUAACGGCCUACCGAGGCGACGACGGGUAGCCGGUCUGAGAGGACGGACGGCCACAGUGGGACUGAGAAAUGGUCCACAGCCCUACGGGGUUUAGCAUGGAGGAAUCUUGCGCAACGGCCUAACGGUCGGCGCAGCAACGCCGCGUGGGGGAGGAAGGCUCUCGGGUCGUAAACCCCUGUUGUGUGGGAAGAAGUACCGUCGGGGAGAGCCCGGCGGGAAGACGGUACCACGCGAGGAAGCAUCGGCUAACUACGUGCCAGCAGCCGCGGUAAUACGUAGGAUGCAAGCGUUAUCCGGAUUUAUUGGGCGUAAAGCGCGCGCAGGCGGCGCUCAGCAGUGGCGCGUGGAAUCUCCCGGCUUACCUGGGAGGGGCCGCGCCAGACGGGGGCGCUUGAGGCAGGCAGAGGACCGUAGAACGGGCGGAGUAGGGGUGAAAUCCGUAGAGACCGUCCGGAAUACCAGUGGCGAAGGCGGCGGUCUGGGCCUGUCCUGACGCUCGGGCGCGAAAGCGUGGGGAGCGAACGGAAUUAGAUACUCCGGUAGUCCACGCCCUAAACGAUGGCCACUCGGUGUCGGGGGUAUCGACCCCCCCGGCGCCCCAGCUAACGCGGUAAGUGGCCCGCCUGGGGACUACGGCCGCAAGGCUAAAACUCAAAGGAAUUGACGGGGGCCCGCACAAGCAGCGGAGCGUGUGGUUUAAUUCGAUGCAACGCGAAGAACCUUACCUGGGCUUGACAUGCACGUGGUAGGGACCCGAAAGGGAACCGACCCGCAAGGGAGCGUGCACAGGUGCUGCAUGGCUGUCGUCAGCUCGUGCCGUGAGGUGUUGGGUUAAGUCUCGCAACGAGCGCAACCCCUGUCCCUAGUUGCACUAUCUAGGGAGACUGCCGGGCGAACCCCGGAGGAAGGUGGGGACGAGGUCAAGUCCGCAUGGCCCUUACGUCCAGGGCUACACACACGCUACAAUCGCCGGUACAGCGGGAUGCAAGCGCGCGAGCGCAAGCCAAUCCCCCAAAACCGGCGCCAGUACAGAUUGGAGGCUGCAACCCGCCUCCAUGAAGCCGGAGUUGCUAGUAACCGCGCGUCAGCAUAGUGCGGUGAAUGCGUUCCCGGGCCUUGUACACACCGCCCGUCACACCACGAAAGCCAGCAAGACUCGAAGGCGCUGGGCCAACCUCCCCCUCGGGGGAGGAGGUAGGCGACGAGAGUCGGGCUGGUGAUUGGGGUGAAGUCGUAACAAGGUAGCCGU
This 1499-nucleotide ribosomal RNA is filed under the name uncultured bacterium. RNAcentral describes it as "bacterial SSU rRNA". It matches the Rfam family "Bacterial small subunit ribosomal RNA". The record is from RNAcentral.